GCCGCAGUGAAUAGGCCCAAGCGACUGUUUAGCAAAAACACAGCUCUCUGCGAAGCCGUAAGGCGAAGUAUAGGGGGUGACACCUGCCCGGUGCUGGAAGGUUAAGGAGAGGGGUUAGCGUAAGCGAAGCUCUGAACUGAAGCCCCAGUAAACGGCGGCCGUAACUAUAACGGUCCUAAGGUAGCGAAAUUCCUUGUCGGGUAAGUUCCGACCCGCACGAAAGGUGUAACGAUUUGGGCACUGUCUCAACCAGAGACUCGGUGAAAUUAUAGUACCUGUGAAGAUGCAGGUUACCCGCGACAGGACGGAAAGACCCCGUGGAGCUUUACUGUAGCCUGAUAUUGAAUUUUGGUACAGUUUGUACAGGAUAGGCGGGAGCCAUUGAAACCGGAGCGCUAGCUUCGGUGGAGGCGCUGGUGGGAUACCGCCCUGACUGUAUUGAAAUUCUAACCUACGGGUCUUAUCGACCCGGGAGACAGUGUCAGGUGGGCAGUUUGACUGGGGCGGUCGCCUCCUAAAGUGUAACGGAGGCGCCCAAAGGUUCCCUCAGAAUGGUUGGAAAUCAUUCGUAGAGUGCAAAGGCAUAAGGGAGCUUGACUGCGAGACCUACAAGUCGAGCAGGGACGAAAGUCGGGCUUAGUGAUCCGGUGGUUCCGCAUGGAAGGGCCAUCGCUCAACGGAUAAAAGCUACCCCGGGGAUAACAGGCUUAUCUCCCCCAAGAGUCCACAUCGACGGGGAGGUUUGGCACCUCGAUGUCGGCUCAUCGCAUCCUGGGGCUGUAGUCGGUCCCAAGGGUUGGGCUGUUCGCCCAUUAAAGCGGUACGCGAGCUGGGUUCAGAACGUCGUGAGACAGUUCGGUCCCUAUCCGUCGUGGGCGUAGGAAAUUUGAGAGGAGCUGUCCUUAGUACGAGAGGACCGGGAUGGACGCACCGCUGGUGUACCAGUUGUUCUGCCAAGGGCAUAGCUGGGUAGCUAUGUGCGGAAGGGAUAAGUGCUGAAAGCAUCUAAGCAUGAAGCCCCCCUCAAGAUGAGAUUUCCCAUAGCGUAAGCUAGUAAGAUCCCUGAAAGAUGAUCAGGUUGAUAGGUUCGAGGUGGAAGCAUGGUGACAUGUGGAGCUGACGAAUACUAAUAGAUCGAGGACUUAACCAU
This 1150-nucleotide ribosomal RNA is filed under the name Bacillus cereus. RNAcentral describes it as "partial 23S ribosomal RNA". It matches the Rfam family "Bacterial large subunit ribosomal RNA", at positions 1776 to 2925 of the family's 2925-position model. Lineage: Bacteria; Bacillati; Bacillota; Bacilli; Caryophanales; Bacillaceae. The record is from RNAcentral.